UACGUAGGCGGUUUAUUAAGUCAGAUGUGAAAGCCCCGGGCUUAACCUGGGAACUGCAUUUGAUACUGGUAAACUAGAGUAUGGUAGAGGGGGGUAGAAUUCCUAGUGUAGCGGUGAAAUGCGUAGAUAUUAGGAGGAAUACCAGUGGCGAAGGCGGCCCCCUGGACCAAUACUGACGCUGAGGUACAAAAGCGUGGGUAGCGAACA
RNAcentral lists this ribosomal RNA (207 nucleotides) under uncultured bacterium. RNAcentral describes it as "partial 16S ribosomal RNA". It matches the Rfam family "Bacterial small subunit ribosomal RNA", at positions 568 to 774 of the family's 1533-position model. The record is from RNAcentral.